RNAcentral lists this ribosomal RNA (612 nucleotides) under uncultured Termitomyces. RNAcentral describes it as "eukaryotic LSU rRNA". Lineage: Eukaryota; Fungi; Basidiomycota; Agaricomycetes; Agaricales; Lyophyllaceae. The record is from RNAcentral.
GGUUGGGUUGUUGCUGGCCUUUAGGGGCAUGUGCACGCCCGCCAUUGUUUUCAACCACCUGUGCACUUUUUGUAGGCUUGGAUAACCCUCGAGGGUCAAACCUCGGUUUGAGGACUUGCUGCGCYGUAAAAAGUCAGCUUUUCCUUGYAUUUCCGGUCUAUGUAUUCUUAUAUACCCCGUAAUCAAAUGUAACAGAAUGCUUGUUAUUGGCCUUUAGUGCCUUUAAUCAGAAAUACAACUUUCAGCAACGGAUCUCUUGGCUCUCGCAUCGAUGAAGAACGCAGCGAAAUGCGAUAAGUAAUGUGAAUUGCAGAAUUCAGUGAAUCAUCGAAUCUUUGAACGCACCUUGCGCUCCUUGGUAUUCCGAGGAGCAUGCCUGUUUGAGUGUCAUUAAAUUCUCAACCUACCCAGUUUUUAUUGGGAUAGUCUUGGACGUGGGGGCUGCGGGCUUCACAGAAGUCGGCUCUCCUUAAAUGUAUUAGUGGGACCUUUUGUUGACUUGUUCCUAGUGUGAUAAUUAUCUACACUGCGGGCAUUCAGCGAUUUAUAUAAUGGGUUUCGCUUCUAACUCAAUCCUGGCCUAACCCCCAGGACAUUUGACAAUUGACCUCA